AAUAGUUCUUCGUCACAAGUAAUUAUAGUUAUACACAGAACUCAUAUGGAGAAUUUUGUUGAUGACAUGUGGAUAAUAAUUCUUCCACCUAUAUAAUUUGCUUGUUAUUGAGAACGAUAAAUUUUUAUUUCUUUUUUCAUUUACUUUGUCUUGUCAGGAUGAUGAGUUUUUUAGAUGAUGUUUCGAACUUCAGUGAUUCCACCUAUUUCUUGGGUUGUAGAGUUGCACUAACAUACUUGAAGAAAAGACUAUGUUUGCCCA
RNAcentral lists this long non-coding RNA (261 nucleotides) under Prunus persica (peach). RNAcentral's name for it is "long non-coding RNA (PPER_LNC008103)". The record is from RNAcentral. Lineage: Eukaryota; Viridiplantae; Streptophyta; Magnoliopsida; Rosales; Rosaceae.